AGCCCCACGUAGGUGUGUGGGGUGAAUUYUGCCCGCUGAGUGAUUUAAAGGGCCGCAGUAAUUUGACUGUGCAAAGGUAGCAUAAUCAUUUGUCUUUUAAUUGAAGUCUAGUAUCAAAGAAUAUUUUCUUUUUAACUGUCUCCUUUAUAUUGAAAAGAAUUUACACUUUAGGUGAAAAUUCCUAAAAAAGCAUAAAAGACGAGAAGACCCUAGGAGCUUUUUUUCUUGGUGAUGUUUUUUCUAAGAGAUUUUGUUGGGGCAACAUAUUUUUUAACAAAAUUAUAUUAAUGCAAAUUAUAUUUUGAAUUAAAAUUAAGUUACCCUAGGGAUAACAGCACAAUUUUAUAGUAAAGCUUGUGACCUCGAUGUUGGAUUAGGUAUUUUAAUGCCCAGAAAGCAUUAUAUUAGGUUCUGUUCGAACUUUGAUGCCUACAU
Molecule: ribosomal RNA, 435 nt
Filed under: Asperspina sp. KMJ-2010
Lineage: Eukaryota; Metazoa; Mollusca; Gastropoda; Acochlidiacea; Asperspinidae
Description: partial 16S ribosomal RNA
Rfam family: Archaeal large subunit ribosomal RNA
Source: RNAcentral